RNAcentral lists this ribosomal RNA (253 nucleotides) under uncultured bacterium. RNAcentral describes it as "partial 16S ribosomal RNA". It matches the Rfam family "Bacterial small subunit ribosomal RNA", at positions 524 to 776 of the family's 1533-position model. The record is from RNAcentral.
GACAGAGGUCCCAAGCGUUAGGCGGAAUCACUGGGCUUAAAGCGUGUGUAGGCGGACUUCUAAGUACCUUGUGAAAUCCCACGGCUCAACCGUGGAACUGCUUGGUAUACUGGUUGUCUUGGGCCAUCUAGGGGCUAGCGGAACAAACGGUGGAGCGGUGAAAUGCGUAGAUAUCGUUUGGAACGCCAAUGGUGAAAACAGCUAGCUGGGGAUGUGCCGACGCUGAGACACGAAAGCCAGGGGAGCGAACAGG